GGUAGUUUAGCUCAGUGGUAUAAGCAUCUGCCUGGCAAGCACAAGGUUGUGAGUUUGAUCCUAGGUACCA
This 70-nucleotide transfer RNA is filed under the name Cavia porcellus (domestic guinea pig). It matches the Rfam family "tRNA". Rfam says of the family: Transfer RNA (tRNA) molecules are approximately 80 nucleotides in length. Their secondary structure includes four short double-helical elements and three loops (D, anti-codon, and T loops). Further hydrogen bonds mediate the characteristic L-shaped molecular structure. tRNAs have two regions of fundamental functional importance: the anti-codon, which is responsible for specific mRNA codon recognition, and the 3' end, to which the tRNAs corresponding amino acid is attached (by aminoacyl-tRNA synthetases). tRNAs cope with the degeneracy of the genetic code in two manners: having more than one tRNA (with a specific anti-codon) for a particular amino acid; and 'wobble' base-pairing, i.e. permitting non-standard base-pairing at the 3rd anti-codon position. Lineage: Eukaryota; Metazoa; Chordata; Mammalia; Rodentia; Caviidae. The record is from Rfam by way of RNAcentral.